CACAUGCAGAAGAAUGGAAUUGGAACACUUUCCUACACCAUGUAUAAAAAUUCAAAAGGAAUUGAAGACCUAAAUGUGAGACCUGAAACCAUAAAAAGAAGAAAAGAUAGGCAGUAACGUCUUUGACUUGGCCAUAGGAUCUUUUUUCUACAUAUGCUCUGAGACAAGGGAAACAAAACCAAAAAUAAAUUAUUGGGACUUCAUCAAGAUAAAAAGCUCUGCACAGUGAAGGAAACAACCAAAGCUAAAAGGCAACUUAGAAAAUGAGACGAGAUAUUUCUAAGCGACAGAUCCAGUAAAGACAUAAUAUCCAAAAUAUAAAUCUCAACAUUCAAAACAUGAAUCAUCCAAUUGAAAAUGGGCAGAAGACAUGAAUGCACAUUUUCUGUAAUAUCCAGAUGGCCGCCAGACACAAGGAAAGACACUCAACAUCACCCAUCAUCAGGGAAAUGCAACUCAAAACCACAAUGAGAAAUCACCUGACACUUGUCAUAAUGCCUAAAAUUAAGAACACAGGAGACAACAGGUAUUGGUGAGGAUGGGGAAAAAGGGGAAGACUCUUAUACUGCUGGUGGGGAAGCAAACAGGUGCAGCCACUGUGGAAAGCAGUAUGGAGGUUCCUCAGGUUAAAAAGAGAACUACCCAAUGACCAGAAAUUCACAGUUAGGUAUUUAUCAGAAGGAUACAAAAGUAGAGAUUUGAAGAGGGAUCUGAUUUUCUUCAUAUGCUUUGCAGGUGAAUGGACGAGUCUUCCCAGGUCUCCCAGGUCCGUAAGCCGCGAUCUCCUUGGACACCUCGUGUCCCUGCGGACAUGCCCAGCAGAGAACAGUCAAGAGUGAGGAGGAGCAGCUGGAGCCUGUCUGACCACUACACGAUGGGCUCUGACGCAGCCCACACUCUUCUCUCCCGGGGAGGCCUGAAUCCCUAUGAGCCUGCGGAGGGCAUUGCCUCCGGGGCCCCAGGACGUGGCAAUCCAUCGUGGUUCCACCCAUCCCCACACGGAGGGCGACAGCUGGUGCUCAAUGUCCUUCACAGGCCUCCUAUCUAAGGGGUCUGCUUUCCAGUUCCUGCCUGGCUGGCAAGUGCGGCUUCACAGGAGCUACCUGGGAGCCGCCCAGGUGUCAUUGGAAACUGCUUCCCCAGAUCCAGAGGCUGCCUCCAGACCAGACUGAGAGGCUGACCUAUCCAGAUUGGCAGGCCAAGGGUUCUAAACCUAAGGGGACCGCAAAGUAUACACUUUAAAAAAAAACUACGUCCUUAUGUGUAUAUACAUAUAUUUUGGAGAUUUAUAAAUCUGCCCUUUGAC
This 1306-nucleotide long non-coding RNA is filed under the name Canis lupus familiaris (dog). RNAcentral describes it as "lncRNA (ENSCAFG00040019359.1)". The record is from RNAcentral. Lineage: Eukaryota; Metazoa; Chordata; Mammalia; Carnivora; Canidae.